UACGGAGGGUGCAAGCGUUACUCGGAAUCACUGGGCGUAAAGGACGCGUAGGCGGGCUUGUAAGUCAGGUGUGAAAUCCUACAGCUUAACUGUAGAACUGCACUUGAAACUACUAGUCUAGAGUAUGGAAGGGGGAGAUGGAAUUAGUGGUGUAGGGGUAAAAUCCGUAGAUAUCACUAGGAAUACCUAAAGCGAAGGCGAUCUCCUGGAACAUUACUGACGCUAAGGCGUGAAAGCGUGGGGAGCAAACAGG
RNAcentral lists this ribosomal RNA (253 nucleotides) under uncultured bacterium. RNAcentral describes it as "partial 16S ribosomal RNA". It matches the Rfam family "Bacterial small subunit ribosomal RNA", at positions 524 to 776 of the family's 1533-position model. The record is from RNAcentral.